RNAcentral lists this small RNA (1161 nucleotides) under uncultured Pelobacter sp. RNAcentral's name for it is "bacterial SSU rRNA". The stretch from base 1 to 471 matches the Rfam family "Bacterial small subunit ribosomal RNA", at positions 1064 to 1533 of the family's 1533-position model. Lineage: Bacteria; Pseudomonadati; Thermodesulfobacteriota; Desulfuromonadia; Desulfuromonadales; Desulfuromonadaceae. The record is from RNAcentral.
GUCGUGAGAUGUUGGGUUAAGUCCCGCAACGAGCGCAACCCCUAUCCUCAGUUGCCAUCAUUAAGUUGGGCACUCUGUGGAGACUGCCGGUGUUAAACCGGAGGAAGGUGGGGAUGACGUCAAGUCCUCAUGGCCCUUAUGACCAGGGCUACACACGUGCUACAAUGGCCGGUACAAAGAGUUGCGAUACCGCGAGGUGGAGCCAAUCUCAUAAAGCCGGUCUCAGUUCGGAUUGGAGUCUGCAACUCGACUCCAUGAAGUUGGAAUCGCUAGUAAUCGCGGAUCAGCACGCCGCGGUGAAUACGUUCCCGGGCCUUGUACACACCGCCCGUCACACCACGGGAGUCGAUUGGUCCCGAAGUGCGUGAGCUAACCCCUUGUGGGAGGCAGCGUCCUAAGGAAUGGUCGGUGACUGGGGUGAAGUCGUAACAAGGUAGCCGUAGGGGAACCUGCGGCUGGAUCACCUCCUUUCUAAGGAGCUAGAAGGCAAUGACCUUCCAAGCUUACCUAGGUCAAAACACAAAUCACUUGAACUUUACUGCUAUUCGGUUUUGAGAGACCAGAGUCUUCUCUGGUUUUUUGCUCUUUAUAAUAAUUGAGUUCGUAGAGUUCAUUGAGUUUAUGAGUUUAUUGAGUUUAAAAUACUCUAUAAACUCAAUAACACAACAAACUCAAUAACUGAAUUGCGGGCUUGUAGCUCAGUUGGCUAGAGCACACGACUGAUAAUCGUGAGGUCGAUGGUUCGAGUCCAUCCAGGCCCACCAACCCUUUAUUGGGGGUGUAGCUCAGCUGGGAGAGCACCUGCCUUGCACGCAGGGGGUCAUCGGUUCGAACCCGUUCACCUCCACCAAUAAAUAGUUAAGAGUUUAUUGAGUUUGGGAGUUUUGAGUUAUUUAACUCAUUUAACUCAAAACUCCAUGAACUCUAAACUGAAGUUCUCAGUUCUUUGACAAUUGCAUAGUGGAUAGUUUAGGUGGUAGAUGCGUACUCAGUGCGUACGUAUUUACUUGAAUUGUAUGAAUUUGUAGAUUGAUUUCGAUUUUUUAUGGUCAAGCUACUAAGGGCGUACGGUGGAUGCCUAGGCAGAGAGAGGCGAUGAAGGACGCGGUAAACUGCGAUAAGCUUCGGGGAGUCGUUAAACAGGCUUUGAUCCGGAGAUUU